AUGUCUGCUGCAUCGGGCUAUGUUGCUGUCCCUCGCUGUCCGGUGAUUUUCGAUGGUACUAACUACACCGAGUUCGCUGGCUUCAUGCGCAUUCACAUGCGUGGCAUCCGUCUCUGGGGUGUUCUUUCUGGCGAGGUCUGCUGUCCGCCACGUCCGGUUCCUCCGGUGGCCCCUACUCCGCCGACUCCACUGGUUCUUCCUGCGGAUGCUAAUCAGGCCGCCAAGGAUGCGGCUAAGAUUGCUGAUGAGGCUGCUGAUCGUGCCUGUGAUGAGAGGGUUUUGGCUUAUGAGGAGGCUCUUCAGACGUAUCAUGGUGCUUUGUCUGUUUACACCCAGUGGCUUGAUGAUGAUGCUCGUGCUGCAGCUGUUCUCACUGCUAGUGUUCUGCCUCAGUUUGCUUCUGAGUUUCUGGGUCUUCCUACUGUCUUCCAGAUGUGGACCUGUCUUCGUCAGUGCUAUGAGCCCUCUGGUGAUGCCUUAUACCUUUCUGUGGUUCGUCAGGAGCAUGCUCUUCAGCAGGGUGACUCUACUGUUGAUGACUUUUAUGCACAGAGUUCUGCUAUCUGGCGCCAGCUUGAUUCUCUCCGCAGUGCUGGUUGUCAUACUUGCCCCUGCUGCCAGGCUGUCCAGGCCAAUUUGGAGUUUCAUCGCGUCUACGAGUUCCUGUCUCGGCUCCGUAAGGAGUUUGAGCCCCGGCGUGCUCAGUUGUUUGCUCGUGGCCGUAUUUCUCUCAUGGAGGCGCUUUCAGAGAUUCGUGCUGAGGAGACUCGCCUACGUGGUGCUGGUUUGCUGGAGGUUCCCUCUGUGCUCGCUACUUGGGCUUCUUCCACUCCACCUGCUGCACCGCCCCAUUCUCGCUCGAGUGCUCUGCCGCUCUUGCCCACUCCUUCUGGAGGCUCAGGUCGCCCCCGUUCACAUUGUGACUACUGCAACAAUGAUGGUCAUAUUGAGUCCCAAUGCUACACAAAGCGGAAACACCUGCGCAAGGCGCGAUCAUCCUCCUCAGGGACUUCGUCAUCUCCCUCGCCAGCUUCAGCCAUUGCUUUGACUGAGCAGGAUAUUCUGAGACUUAAGCGUCUGCUCGCGGCUUCAGGUUCUUCCUCGACGGGUACUGCUGGUUCUGUGACUGAUGCUUCCCGCACUGAGCACCCGCCCUCUACACAGUCAGGUACAUCCCCAUGGGUUCUGGACUCUGGAGCUUCUUUUCAUAUGUCUUCUCAUUCUUCCGCUUUGUCCUCUCUUCGAUCGCUGGAUUCUCCUGUUCAUGUCUUCACUGCUGAUGGUACUCCACUUUCUGUUGCUAGUAGAGGCCAUCUUUCCACUCCUUCUUAUUCUGUUCCUGAUGUUGCUCAUGUUCCUCGACUUACCAUGAAUCUGUUUUCUGCCGGUCAACUUACUGAUUCUGGUUGUCGUGUCAUCCUUGACGUUGACUCUUGUUCUGUUCAGGAUCGUCGCACGCACACUCUGGUUGGGGCUGGCCCUCGCCGCCGUGAUUCUCAGGGUCUUUGGGAGUUGGACUGGCUUCAUGUUCCUUCCGCUGCCACCACCAUCGCCAGUCCCUCCGCUGCUGUCGCCUCUGUUACUGGUUCCUUCAAGCAGUGGCAUCAUCGACUUGGUCAUCUGUGUGGUUCUCGGUUAUCGUCUUUAGUUCGUCGAGGUCUUCUGGGGUCUGUCUCAGGAGAUGUCUCUUUAGAGUGUCAGGGUUGUCGUCUUGGCAAGCAGAUUCAGUUACCAUAUUCACAUAGUGAGUCAGUGUCUAAGCGUCCUUUUGAUUUAGUCCAUUCUGAUGUAUGGGGUCUGGCUCCUUUCGCUUCGAAAGGUGGUCAUAAAUACUAUAUUAUUUUCAUCGAUGAUUUUUCUCGUUACACAUGGCUUUAUUUCAUGACUUCACGUAGUGAGGUGUUGUCUAUUUAUAAGCGUUUUGCUGCCAUGGUUCAUACUCAGUUCUCUUCACCCAUUCGUGUUUUUCGUGCUGACUCCGCUGGUGAGUAUAUCUCUAAGAUGUUGCGUGGUGUCCUUGCUGAGCAGGGUACUCUUGCCCAGUUCUCUUGUCUUGGUGCUCAUGCUCAGAAUGGCGUGUCUGAGCGCAAGCAUCGUCACCUUCUUGAGACGGCUCGUGCUAUGAUGAUCGCCGCCUCUCUUCCGCCUCAUUUUUGGGCCGAGGCUAUCUCCACUUCCGCCUAUCUCAUCAACCUUCAGCCGUCCGCUGCUUUGCAGGGUGGUGUUCCUUUUGAGCGUCUUUUUGAUCGUUCUCCCGAUUAUUCGAUGCUUCGCUUGUUUGGUUGUGUUUGCUAUGUUCUUCUUGCCCCUCGCGAACGCACCAAACUGACCGCUCAGUCUGUUGAGUGUGUCUUCUUAGGCUACAGUGAUGAGCAUAAGGGCUAUCGUUGUUGGGAUCCUAUCGGUCGUCGGAUGCGUAUCUCUCGAGACGUGACUUUUGAUGAGUCUCGUCCUUUCUACCCACGCCCAUCUUCCUCGUUUUUUUCAGUGGAGGAUAUCUCUUUCCUCACUUUUCCUGACUCACCUAUCACCCCGUCGCGCCUGUGCCUAUUCGUUCCACUCCCUCUGCUUCUCCACCCCUCGUCGAUUCGCCGCCACCAUCUUCCCCGGUCUCCUCACCUAGCAUGUCACCGGAUUCUACACCUUCAUCUCCGGUGA
This 2658-nucleotide ribosomal RNA is filed under the name Triticum aestivum (bread wheat). RNAcentral describes it as "partial small subunit ribosomal RNA". The record is from RNAcentral. Lineage: Eukaryota; Viridiplantae; Streptophyta; Magnoliopsida; Poales; Poaceae.